This 24-nucleotide non-coding RNA is filed under the name Arabidopsis thaliana (thale cress). The record is from RNAcentral. Lineage: Eukaryota; Viridiplantae; Streptophyta; Magnoliopsida; Brassicales; Brassicaceae.
CCCUGUCGUUGUCUACGAUUUCAC